This 468-nucleotide ribosomal RNA is filed under the name uncultured bacterium. Its description in RNAcentral is "partial 16S ribosomal RNA". It matches the Rfam family "Bacterial small subunit ribosomal RNA", at positions 28 to 507 of the family's 1533-position model. The record is from RNAcentral.
GACGAACGCUGGCGGCGUGCUUAACACAUGCAAGUCGAACGGAAAGGCCCUGCUUUUGUGGGGUGCUCGAGUGGCGAACGGGUGAGUAACACGUGAGUAACCUGCCCUUGACUUUGGGAUAACUUCAGGAAACUGGGGCUAAUACCGGAUAGGAGCUCCUGCUGCAUGGUGGGGGUUGGAAAGUUUCGGCGGUUGGGGCUGGACUCGCGGCUUAUCAGCUGGUUGGUGGGGUAGUGGCUUACACAGGCUUUGACGGGUAGCCGGCCUGGGAGGGUGACCGGCCACAUUGGGACUGAGAUAGGGCCCAGACUCGUACGGGAGGCAGCAGUGGGGAAUAUGGCACAAUGGGCGGAAGCCUGAGGCAGAAACGCCGCGUGCGGGAUGACGGCCUUCGGGUUGUAAACCGCUUUCGCCUGUGACGAAGCGUGAGUGACGGUAAUGGGUAAAGAAGCACCGGCUAACUACGUG